RNAcentral lists this ribosomal RNA (253 nucleotides) under uncultured bacterium. Its description in RNAcentral is "partial 16S ribosomal RNA". It matches the Rfam family "Bacterial small subunit ribosomal RNA", at positions 524 to 776 of the family's 1533-position model. The record is from RNAcentral.
UACGGAGGGGGCUAGCGUUGUUCGGAAUUACUGGGCGUAAAGGGCGCGUAGGCGGUCAGGUCAGUCCCGUGUGAAAUCCCUCGGCUCAACUGAGGAACUGCACGGGAAACUACCUGGCUUGAGUUCGGGAGAGGGAAGCGGAAUUCCGGGUGUAGCGGUGAAAUGCGUAGAUAUCCGGAGGAACACCGGUGGCGAAGGCGGCUUCCUGGACCGACACUGACGCUGAGGCGCGAAAGCUAGGGGAGCAAACGGG